GCUUUGGAAGACACCCUGAAGUAGAAGCAAAACGAUUCUUUGCUUAAAGCAUUAAAACCACCACCACAACCAACAGCAACAAAACCAGCAAAACCUAGGACAAACGAGUUUUGUGGCAACAACAAUAAAAGCCCAGGUCAGGUAAGUAAGCACAGAGUUAUUUCUUAAGGAACACAAAUUAAGUGUUCAGCGUUUGUCCUUUCUUUUGGAUUAUGCUGCUUGCAAAGAGAAUCAUUUGAAAGGAUUAAUAUGCUAUGCUAUGCUAUGCUAAGUCACUUCAG
This is a non-coding RNA of Bos taurus (domestic cattle), 281 nucleotides long. NCBI's taxonomy places the organism in Eukaryota, Metazoa, Chordata, Mammalia, Artiodactyla, Bovidae. The record is from Rfam.